AAUGUGUAGUGUAGCGGUGAAAUGCUUAGAUAUUACACAGAACACCGAUUGCGAAGGCAGCUUACUAUACCAUUAUUGACGCUGAGGCACGAAAGCGUGGGUAGCGAACAGGAUUAGAUACCCUGGUAGUCCACGCCGUAAACGAUGAUUACUGGUUGUGUGCGAUACACAGUGCGCGACUGAGGGAAACCAUUAAGUAAUCCACCUGGGGAGUACGUUCGCAAGAAUGAAACUCAAAGGAAUUGACGGGGGCCCGCACAAGCGGAGGAACAUGUGGUUUAAUUCGAUGAUACGCGAGGAACCUUACCUGGGCUUAAAUGUAGAGUGCAUUAUUUGGAAACAGAUAUUUCCUUCGGGACUCUUUACAAGGUGCUGCAUGGUUGUCGUCAGCUCGUGCCGUGAGGUGUCGGGUUAAGUCCCAUAACGAGCGCAACCCCUAUCGUUAGUUGCUAGCAGGUAAUGCUGAGGACUCUAGCGAAACUGCCGGUGUAAACCGAGAGGAAGGUGGGGAUGACGUCAAAUCAGCACGGCCCUUAUGUCCAGGGCUACACACGUGUUACAAUGGCCGGUACAAUGGGCAGCUACCUGGCAACAGGAUGCUAAUCUCCAAAACCGGUCCCAGUUCGGAUCGGAGUCUGCAACUCGACUCCGUGAAGUUGGAUUCGCUAGUAAUCGUAUAUCAGCAAUGAUACGGUGAAUACGUUCCCGGGCCUUGUACACACCGCCCGUCAAACCAUGGAAGCUGGGGGUGCCUGAAGUACGUUACCGCAAGGAGCGUCCUAGGGUAAAACUGGUGACUGGGGUUAAGUCGUAACAAGGUA
Molecule: ribosomal RNA, 821 nt
Filed under: uncultured sediment bacterium
Lineage: Bacteria
Description: bacterial SSU rRNA
Rfam family: Bacterial small subunit ribosomal RNA
Source: RNAcentral